This 779-nucleotide ribosomal RNA is filed under the name uncultured Neocallimastigales. RNAcentral describes it as "partial large subunit ribosomal RNA". It matches the Rfam family "Eukaryotic large subunit ribosomal RNA", at positions 24 to 645 of the family's 3401-position model. Lineage: Eukaryota; Fungi; Neocallimastigomycota; Neocallimastigomycetes; Neocallimastigales. The record is from RNAcentral.
UUAUCUCUGUAGAGUCUGCAUAUCAAUAAGCGGAGGAAAAGAAACUAACUAGGAUUCCCUCAGUAACGGCGAGUGAAGCGGGAAGAGCUCAAAUUUGGAAUCUUCAAGGUUUUACCUUGACGAAUUGUAGCUUAAAGAAGUGUUUUCUGUUGGAUGUUUUGGUAAAAGUUCUUUGGAAUAGGACAUCAUAGAGGGUGAGAAUCCCGUAUUUGACCAUUACUUUCCAACUUUGUGAUACACUUUCAAAGAGUCGGAUUGUUUGGGAAUGCAGUCCAAAAUGGGUGGUAAAUUUCAUCUAAAGCUAAAUAUUGGCGAGAGACCGAUAGCGAACAAGUACCGUGAGGGAAAGAUGAAAAGAACUUUGAAAAGAGAGUUAAACAGUACGUGAAAUUGUCAAAAGGGAAGCGUUUGACACCAGUGUUGUUUUCUCGAAAAUCAAUUAAAAAUGACCGGAUUUUGUGUUGUAUUGACUUUAUCAGCUUUCUGCACUUUUUUCUUGUCUUUUUUAAUGCACUUUUCGUUUAACAAGUCAACAUCAGUUUCUUUUGUUGUAAAAGAGUCAUUGGAAGGUGGCUUUCCUUUCGGAUGAAAGUGUUUAUAGCCUUUGACUUCUGCAAUCGGAGAGAUUGAGGUCUGCAGCGUAGAUCCUUCGGGGUUAGAUACGUAGAUGCUAAGUUAUAGUUUUUUAUAGACAACUUGUUGACUAUAAUUAAUCAUGUAGCUUACUCGUUUGACGCUAUUUUACCUACGCUUAGGAUGUUGAUCUCUCACAGUCGAGC